This 469-nucleotide long non-coding RNA is filed under the name Nicotiana benthamiana. RNAcentral's name for it is "long non-coding RNA (NBEN_LNC002741)". Lineage: Eukaryota; Viridiplantae; Streptophyta; Magnoliopsida; Solanales; Solanaceae. The record is from RNAcentral.
AAAUAUUAGCAAGAAAUCGCAUAUAUGAAGUCAAAACAGAUAACUAAUAGAUAAGAGAUAAGGGUGAACCUCAGGAGUAAAAUCCUUUAAUUAGUAUAGAAGAAUCCAUUAAUACAGAACUUCGGCUCUAAAAAAUCAAUCGAGAAAAGCAACAUUAAAGGCGAUCUGCGAACCGCCUGGAAUACGAGUGGCACUUCAACUCGACGUCGUCUCAAGCAUCAACCAAACUCCAUGUUUGAAAACUCAAAUCAAGUAUCAAAAGGAGGCAGCUAGCAGUAGUAUGUGUAUAUAUUUUAGUAUUUCUGAAAUUCAAUCACCAACUAGCAGAAGCAUUUUUUCCAUCUCUUCUUCGUAUGUAUUUUUAAAAUUGUGAAAAGAAGCAGAAACAAAGCGGUUUUUGGGUGAAGGUGUUGAGCUAUUGGGCUCCUCCAGUCAGCUGAAGCCCAAUAUGAAGAGAGAAGCAACAGAU